RNAcentral lists this ribosomal RNA (426 nucleotides) under uncultured bacterium. RNAcentral describes it as "bacterial SSU rRNA". It matches the Rfam family "Bacterial small subunit ribosomal RNA", at positions 354 to 796 of the family's 1533-position model. The record is from RNAcentral.
GUAGGGAAUAUUGCACAAUGGGCGAAAGCCUGAUGCAGCAACGCCGCGUGCGCGAAGAAGGUCUUCGGAUCGUAAAGCGCUUUUUGGGGAGAUGAGGAAGGACAGUAUCCCCAGAAUAAGGCUCGGCUAACUACGUGCCAGCAGCCGCGGUAAAACGUAGGAGCCAAGCGUUAUCCGAAUUCACUGGGCGUAAAGCGCGUGCAGGCGGUCUGGUAAGUUGGAUGUGAAAUCUCCUGGCUCAACUGGGAGGGGCCGUUCAAUACUGUCAGACUAGAGGGCGACAGAGGGAGGUAGAAUUCCCGGUGUAGUGGUGAAAUGCGUAGAUAUCGGGAGGAAUACCAGAGGCGAAGGCGACCUUCUGGGUCGCACCUGACGCUCAGACGCGAAAGCUAGGGGAGCAAACGGGAUUAGAAACCCCAGUAGUCC